RNAcentral lists this ribosomal RNA (406 nucleotides) under uncultured bacterium. Its description in RNAcentral is "partial 16S ribosomal RNA". It matches the Rfam family "Bacterial small subunit ribosomal RNA", at positions 355 to 778 of the family's 1533-position model. The record is from RNAcentral.
UGGGGAAUAUUGCACAAUGGGCGAAAGCCUGAUGCAGCAACGCCGCGUGAGUGAUGAAGGUCUUCGGAUUGUAAAGCUCUGUCUUUUGGGACGAUAAUGACGGUACCAAAGGAGGAAGCCACGGCUAACUACGUGCCAGCAGCCGCGGUAAUACGUAGGUGGCGAGCGUUGUCCGGAUUUACUGGGCGUAAAGGGUGCGUAGGCGGAUGUUUAAGUGAGAUGUGAAAUACCCGGGCUUAACUUGGGUGCUGCAUUUCAAACUGGAUAUCUAGAGUGCAGGAGAGGAGAAUGGAAUUCCUAGUGUAGCGGUGAAAUGCGUAGAGAUUAGGAAGAACACCAGUGGCGAAGGCGAUUCUCUGGACUGUAACUGACGCUGAGGCACGAAAGCGUGGGUAGCAAACAGGAU